RNAcentral lists this ribosomal RNA (253 nucleotides) under uncultured bacterium. RNAcentral's name for it is "partial 16S ribosomal RNA". It matches the Rfam family "Bacterial small subunit ribosomal RNA", at positions 524 to 776 of the family's 1533-position model. The record is from RNAcentral.
UACGGGGGGGGCGAGCGUUGUUCGGAAUUACUGGGCGUAAAGGGUUUGUAGGUGGCCUGCUAAGUCAGACGUGAAAUCCCUCAGCUUAACUGGGGAACUGCGUCUGAUACUGGCGCGCUUGAGGACAGGAGAGGAACGCGGAAUUCCAGGUGUAGCGGUGAAAUGCGUAGAUAUCUGGAGGAACACCGGUGGCGAAGGCGGCGUUCUGGACUGUUUCUGACACUGAAAAACGAAAGCCAGGGGAGCAAACGGG